This 482-nucleotide ribosomal RNA is filed under the name uncultured bacterium. Its description in RNAcentral is "partial 16S ribosomal RNA". It matches the Rfam family "Bacterial small subunit ribosomal RNA", at positions 30 to 507 of the family's 1533-position model. The record is from RNAcentral.
AUUGAACGCUGGCGGCAUGCUUUACACAUGCAAGUCGAACGGCAGCGCGGGGCAACCUGACGGCGAGUGGCGAACGGGUGAGUAAUACAUCGGAACGUACCCAGAAGUGGGGGAUAACGUAGCGAAAGUUACGCUAAUACCGCAUACGUUCUACGGAAGAAAGUGGGGGACCUUCGGGCCUCAUGCUUUUGGAGCGGCCGAUGUCUGAUUAGCUAGUUGGUGAGGUAAAGGCUCACCAAGGCGACGAUCAGUAGCUGGUCUGAGAGGACGACCAGCCACACUGGGACUGAGACACGGCCCAGACUCCUACGGGAGGCAGCAGUGGGGAAUUUUGGACAAUGGGCGCAAGCCUGAUCCAGCAAUGCCGCGUGAGUGAAGAAGGCCUUCGGGUUGUAAAGCUCUUUUGUCAGGGAAGAAACGGCUGAGGAUAAUACCUUCGGCUAAUGACGGUACCUGAAGAAUAAGCACCGGCUAACUACGUG